CUCCGUAGGGUAACCUGCGGAGGGAUCAUUACUGAGUUUACGCUCUAUAACCCUUUGUGAACAUACCUAUAACUGUUGCUUCGGCGGGUAGGGUCUCCGCGACCCUCCCGGCCUCCCGCCUCCGGGCGGGUCGGCGCCCGCCGGAGGAUAACCAAACUCUGAUUUAACGACGUUUCUUCUGAGUGGUACAAGCAAAUAAUCAAAACUUUUAACAACGGAUCUCUUGGUUCUGGCAUCGAUGAAGAACGCAGCGAAAUGCGAUAAGUAAUGUGAAUUGCAGAAUUCAGUGAAUCAUCGAAUCUUUGAACGCACAUUGCGCCCGCCAGCAUUCUGGCGGGCAUGCCUGUUCGAGCGUCAUUUCAACCCUCAAGCUCUGCUUGGUGUUGGGGCCCUACAGCUGAUGUAGGCCCUCAAAGGUAGUGGCGGACCCUCCCGGAGCCUCCUUUGCGUAGUAACUUUACGUCUCGCACUGGGAUCCGGAGGGACUCUUGCCGUAAAACCCCCCAAUUUCCAAAGGUGACCUCGGAUCAGUAGAAUGCCGG
Molecule: ribosomal RNA, 542 nt
Filed under: fungal endophyte
Lineage: Eukaryota; Fungi
Description: eukaryotic LSU rRNA
Rfam family: 5.8S ribosomal RNA (bases 204-357)
Source: RNAcentral